This 471-nucleotide ribosomal RNA is filed under the name uncultured bacterium. RNAcentral describes it as "SSU rRNA". It matches the Rfam family "Bacterial small subunit ribosomal RNA", at positions 26 to 518 of the family's 1533-position model. The record is from RNAcentral.
AGGACGAACGCUGGCGGCGUGCUUAACACAUGCAAGUCGAGCGAGGCUCCUCCUUCGGGAGGAUGCCCUAGCGGCGAACGGGUGAGUAACACGUGGGCAACCUGCCCCUAGCACUGGGAUAACCCCGGGAAACCGGGGCUAAUACCGGAUACGACUUCGGAAGGCAUCUUCUGAAGUGGAAAAGGUUACUGGCUAGGGAUGGGCCCGCGGCCUAUCAGCUUGUUGGUGGGGUAAUGGCCCACCAAGGCGACGACGGGUAGCCGGCCUGAGAGGGCGACCGGCCACACUGGGACUGAGACACGGCCCAGACUCCUACGGGAGGCAGCAGUGGGGAAUAUUGCACAAUGGGCGAAAGCCUGAUGCAGCGACGCCGCGUGAGGGAUGACGGCCUUCGGGUUGUAAACUCCUGUCAGGGAAAGAAGUUCUGAUCUACCCAGAGGAAGAGGCGGCUAACUCUGCGCCAGCAGCCGC